Long non-coding RNA from Amphiprion ocellaris (clown anemonefish), 4574 nucleotides. NCBI's taxonomy places the organism in Eukaryota, Metazoa, Chordata, Actinopteri, Pomacentridae. The record is from Ensembl.
UUUGGAGAGAAAACAGCAGAUUUAUUCAGCCAUCGUGAGACACGAGUUACAUAACGAGGAGGAAUAAAGUCAAUCUGUAUUUCUGUUUCUGCAGAGGAGGAAGAAGUUACAUAACAAAACCAAACAGCAAAUACAAAAAUUCAUCAUCAGUCACACAGAAAUCACACAUUCAUGUCACUUUAACACAAAAUAUAUUUCACUGCAUAUGCUGUGUGAAGACUAUUUAAAAAGAAACUUUAAUUUUUUUUGUUUUGUUUUUUAAUUUGAGGUUAACUUAUUAGGACUUCAAAGAUAAACUGCAGUUUAAAUUUUCUCUGCCUGCUGUCGGUGUUUCACUCUCAGAAUGCUAGUUUUUCAGGUCAGAGGUGGUGUCCCUUUAAUGGCAGGAUUCAGCAUCUGAAGUCUUGAAAGAUGAUAUAUUAUUUUGUUUGGAUGAAUUUGUAUUUUCCAAAUGAUUUUGUUUUGCACAAUUUUUUCUAUAGAAUUCAUUAUAAUCAUUCACAUACAUGUUUGAAAAUGUUCACUUUACAUGCAGACGUUUUUAUCGCGUUCACAAGACUGUAUUUUGGUUGUUUUUACCUCAGAGUAAGAUUCAUAUCUAAUAUUUUGUGCAAAGUACUUCUCUGUCCACACAAAACAGUCAUUUCUGUCAAAAGGAGCAACAUCUUCUGGGUUGUAGAAUGCUAUUUUCUCAAUUACUUGUUACCUGUUUCGGAUGACUAAAUCAGAGUUAUCACUUGUUAUGAAGCCCACAGAUAUCCUAUUUAAUUUUAACUUCAUUUAAUGCUAGCAGUGCUUUGUGGUUCGAAAUGCGGAGUUCCAAAAAUCUGCACUUGGAGGAUGGGUGGGUCAAGUUUGAAUCUCAUUAUGUUUGUAUUUGUUUUUGACUUAAGAUUUAUUGUGACUUUUGUUUUCACUGUUUACUUUUCCUUUAAGUCACUGUCUAGUUACGUUGAUUCGAGUUAGGAAAAGGUUAUGUUUAGGCUUGAAAAUCAGUUUUUCUACGUUUACCUCAUGUUAAGUGCCUAAAUUUGUAUGUUUGAAGGGUGACAUGUUAUUGGUAUAUAGUAUAACAGAUGAUAAUGUCCCCAGUAGAACGUGGAGGAGUCCAUCUACAGCUGAUAUCAAUGGGGCAUGUAAACAACUGAUAAUGUCUGAAUCAGAUGCAUUUUUAUUAAUCUGUAAAAUACCAAAAACAGGAAGCCGCUUUAGGGUCUUUUCUAUCUUCACCACGUUUCUCAAAUCUCACCAGGUUGGCAGAUCGUCAUUGAAACAGCUGCGAGUUUCUUAAAAUCAGUUUUUCUUGCUCACGGUUUUCUAAACCACAAACCAGAACCUCCACGCCGAGCGUAACCGGCUGAGACAAAUUUGUAGUUUUUCCUCAUCACUUUAAUCCACCCAAAGUUCAACAACCCCUAGUGGACAGCAGAGGAACUGCAGCUCGGUACCUCAGCUGUGCAGGCUGCUGAUUGGUUCACAUCAGAUUAAAGUUGAUCUAAAGGUGUGAGCAGGUGAACAGCUUCUGUAAGAGAAAAAUGAGCUGAAACUGACUUUUAUUCAGUGCUUCCUGCAGGUUUGGGCAGCAGGAAACACUGAGGCUCAAGGUGCCAAAACUCACAGAAAAUCUUUGUGAUCGAUAAUCUUACAAUAAUAAUAUUCAAAAUGAGACAAUGAUACAAACACAGCUCAAAAGAAUCUUCCAUAAAUCAUAACAAAUAAAGCAUAAAAAGCAUUUGAUGAAGAUAAGAAAACUUGACGGAACAGUUUAAACAACAUAUUUCAUGUUCAGGUUGUAUGUUCAGGAGACGUUGACGGGAAAGUUCUCUCCAGUGUUGUUGGACUGUAAGCAGAGACGGGGAUCGAAGAGGAAGAGGAAGAGGAAGAGGAAGAGAGAAACUAUGGCGGAGAUAAACAACUUCAGCAGCCGGCGACUGAUCCUGAGAGCAGCUCCGAGUUUCCAAGAAUCACAAUGAGGCAGAUUGAGCCGAGAGGUCUGAAGGUUUGAAGACAUCGAUGGCGACCGAACGAUGUCAACACAGAAUUAUUAAAAUGGAAAAAAAUAAAGUUCUGACAGUAAAAUACACCUUAAUGGAAGAUAUUUCUGCCAAGUUUUUCCUGUUUCACAUCGCGUUUCCGAGUUUACACCAUUUUCUGCACCAAGCAUCUGUAGUUUUGCCAAAAGAAGUCUGGAAUGACCCAAGCAGAAUAGUUGAACAGGGAGCAGUGAUAGAGGAGGGAAUGUAAAAACUCCCACGCUCUGAGAAAUCCAGUGAACACACCACAAGGACCAACAGCAGCAGCAGCAGCUCAGAUUUUCCUUUAACAGACUUUCUGACUGCAUCAGUUUUAGCCGCAGGGAGGAAGUGGACGGUCGCCACGAUGAGAGGGAACGCCAUGACUCAGCGGUUUCCAAGGCAACCAUUCAUCAUUCACAUGGAUUUCCCUGCCGAGGAGCUACUGCUGCGUUCACAUAUGUCUGCACCUUUUCCUUACUUCUGGUUGUUUUUGCUUUCAUUUGAAACUUUUGUCCAUUCAUCCCUCUCUUUUCUAUCCUGUGGAGGGUAGCGGGGAACUUUAUUCCAUCUUAACGCUUUUUUUUUUUUUACCUAAUUCAACAUGUGGAGCAGAAACUACAGCGGGAAGAAGCCUUGGAACUAUUACAGAAGUGAUAGAAAUUAAUCAAUCAAUACUGAUGCAAUCCAUAAUUAAGUUUAUGAUGAAAAUGGAUUAUUUGCUAAUUAGCCAGACCAGAAACAAAAAUAAACAGAAACAAAAGGAGACAGUCAAGUUAGUUAGUUAGUUGUUUAGCUAGUUAGUUAGUGUAAAGAAUCCUUUGACACAUUUGGACCAUUUGGAUAUAACUGUUUGAAAGUACAAUUUAACAUUGACAUAAAUAAAUAAAAUGCGGAAAUUUGUAAAAUAUCUAGAAAAUUGAACAGAGUUUGGUUGGUGGUGGAGUAUCAAUGUUAAAUCCUGGACUGUUCCUUAGAAAGUGCUGGAAUAAUGUUUUUUUAAUCAGUUUUUUUCUCAUAAUUACAGCUGAUAUUUAAAAAAAAUGUUACCACAAAUUAACAAAAAUUUUGGUUUUUUUCUUUACAAAACUCAAAACAAUUAAUUCAUUUUUAUAGGAAUAUAUUAAAGGCAUUUAUCUGCAAGCCGAUUAAACAACUACAUCCACACAUCAACCAAAAUGUCCCGAAGUUUGAGAACAUUUGAGCAGAUCAAUUGAAACAGCAGAAAAUUACAAACAUCUGCUUAAAAAAUGUUCACAAUACAAAGCAGGAAAACACUUGAUCAAACACCAGAUGCAGCAUAAAAUGUUUUUAACAAAAGCAUCUCAACGUAUCACUUGAGGACCCAAAAUGUGUCGGCUGAAGAUCCAUUUAGGGCCCGCGAACCGCAGUCUGAACAGUCGAGUGACAGGAGGAAUAAUUCUGCAGUGAAAAAAAAUGGAAACAAAGGACUUUUACAAAACGCGGUGGUUCUCUAACGGAACUUUUGAACUGUGUGUCCUCAGAGUUCAGCGGAGCGACGUCUAUAUUUAAACUGGGAGUAUUAAACACACACACUCACACACACACAGUCCAGUGUAGCAGGGAUUCAUGGGACUUUCCCAUCUCCUAAAACAAGAGUCUUUCAUCAUUCAGCACCAGCAGUGGGGCUGGCCACACCGAGGCAUCCUGGGAAAUAAAGUCCGAGAUGAUGUCAUCACUGUGGCCAUGUGAUCCCUGAACAAACGCGAGGGCUGAAGAACAGCCAGAAAAAGGUGUAAUAAUCCUUUAAAAGCUGAGCGUUGCGCAGAAUGAAGCAACCUGGGAAAUGGAGUCCAGGAAGGAAACACUCCAAACCUGAAAAUGUCUCAGUGAAUCCUGGAAAAUGCAGUCAUUCUUUUUGGGAAUUUAACACUUUUGAGCCAAAAAUUACAGACAUUCUGUCGCUUAUUGGAAAUCAUGACUAGGAAAGGAUGCUGGGAAAUGGAGUCCAGUGAUGGGAUCUGUGGGUUUAUUUUAAUACUGACGGGGGGAAAAACCACCACCAAGUCUGCCUUCUCUAAUUUAUCAGAUCUAAAUCGUUCGUUUCAUAUUAAUUUCGAUCAUGGAAAUAUUUCAUUUGGCAAAAUGCGAAAGUAGAGAAAGCUCAUUGGCAUGCUGGGAAAUGUAGUCUUUGUCUUUGUGUUUGUUUUGGAGGAUCAGAUCCAGAGCUGGUGGUUCGUUGGACGUGAUAAAGAUCUCAGCUGGGCAGGAGUCUCCGUGUGGACUCGUGUUUGGAUGGUUUUUAACAGCAAUUGCUGAUUUUCAGUCUUGGCUAGCAAAAAAAAUAAAAGUUUCUAAAGAAAACGCACAAAAGGAGACAGCCUGGUGGCCACAUUGCAUGAAAACUGAAAUUUCCACAGUAAAAUCUGGCUUGUUCCAGGCCAAGACAGCGCCCCCUGCAGGUGGUCAUGGCUUUGCUUAAGAACACUUCAGCAGGAGGGCAGUCGAGGCCUCCGGCUGGCGGUCGGAUGGUGGAAGAGAGGCUCAGAGGUUCAGAGGAAGGAGGAGGAGGUCAGUCAGCUGGUCUGGGUUCAGUUCAAA